UUUCACAAAACCCGCGAUGGUUCUUAAUCGCCCGAAGUGCGCUUGGAAUGAAAAAGGGAAUACGGUGCGGAAGAGCCCAGAGGCGCCAAACCCGUAACUGCCCCCGCAACUGUGAGCGGCGAGUGAUCCUGAGGACGACCACUGAGCCAUCAUCGGCUUGGGAAGGUUCAGGAAAACGUUGAGCCGCAAGUCAGGAGACCUGCCAUCAGCGGCAUCUUACG
RNAcentral lists this non-coding RNA (221 nucleotides) under Thioclava sp. SK-1. The record is from RNAcentral. Lineage: Bacteria; Pseudomonadati; Pseudomonadota; Alphaproteobacteria; Rhodobacterales; Paracoccaceae. RNAcentral also lists the same sequence under 1 other name.